GCGCUUGUGGCUCAAUGGAUAGAGCGCUGGCCUCCGGAGCCAGUUGUUGGGGGUUCAAGUCCCUCCAAGCGCG
RNAcentral lists this transfer RNA (73 nucleotides) under Candidatus Omnitrophota bacterium. RNAcentral's name for it is "tRNA-Arg". It matches the Rfam family "tRNA". Rfam says of the family: Transfer RNA (tRNA) molecules are approximately 80 nucleotides in length. Their secondary structure includes four short double-helical elements and three loops (D, anti-codon, and T loops). Lineage: Bacteria; Pseudomonadati; Candidatus Omnitrophota. The record is from RNAcentral.